CUACGCGCGCUGAGCCGACCAAUGUCUGCACCCGCAGACGUGGACGCGCCUACUAGCGUGUACGCGCAUGAGCCAAGAUCUCUGGACUUUCUUUGCUGGAACACGAACGUAAGUAUAGAUUUAUUGAUUUAUUGCUACAUUCGCAGUAAAGAUCGGCCUUUGUGUUUCCAUCAUCAUUUAUGUAUGAUUGUAAUGACGUUGUUUGAUAUUAGGACUAGCAGUAAAACUUUAUAUUCUGUAAAAAAAGGCUUUUAUUUCCAGCGCCGCCUCCCAGAAUGCUUUGCAUGGGGACGUGCGUCUGACGUCACGUAUCCAGAAAAUUCAAAAUGGCUGCACGCGGUAGGUGAGGCCCGAGCGAAAAAAAGUGGAAAAGAGUGUUAUUCGUCAAAAAACCCACACAACGACGGUCAUUUUUUCGCCGUGCUAUUGUAAAAUUGUCUUUUAUCUGUGUUUUGUGUUCCGGGGGACCCCGACUCCAGAAUGUGAAAGUUUCCCGCGUGAAGCCGUGGAGCUCGAGAUCCUGCUUACUGUGGACUAGCUGUGUGUGACGCCCUGUUGUUUUUGUUUCCAUUACAAAAAAAAGCUCCACCGUCUCGCCGAGUGCCAGCAAGAGUCAUGAGUACUUGUCAACUCGACUCCUCAACUGGAGAUAACUUUCUAGCACCUCACCAUGGGGAAGGAUGUAUUCAUAUGCCUUCACCAGCACCUGCAUUAAACAUGCAGAGAGUUACACAAG
Entelurus aequoreus (snake pipefish) is the source of this 736-nucleotide long non-coding RNA. RefSeq lists it as uncharacterized. The record is from RefSeq and is a predicted model, not a curated record. The transcript is spliced from 4 exons. Lineage: Eukaryota; Metazoa; Chordata; Actinopteri; Syngnathiformes; Syngnathidae.